CAUGUAAGUGAACAAAGCUGGAAUUGUGAGCACCGUCUAUGAAAGCACCUUUGACCUAUUUGCACUCUUCACUAACAGGCUAGGAGGCAAGACUGUAUAUGAUCUUAAAAAGAAGACCUUCAUCAUUACAACACAAAAACACGUCUGCUUUACAAAUGCCAGGAGAUUCAAAGAUAGCCUGUCUCAUAUGACCGUCAAACAUUCAUCAAGUGUUUGCCGAUUCAUUUUGACAAACUGAAUUCUCUUGUAGAUAUCCUGUCAGUUGUAAUUACAGGUGGUCUGAGAGUGUCACCUGGUGAGAUAACAGCAGGCUGACUGUACCUCCUACUGUACUCGGAGACAGUUUGGACCAUAUUCUCUAUGUAGCCACCUGUUUAUCUGCAUUUGUUUUAUUAUCUGACUGUUCAAAAGUGAUGUUGUUUUUUGGCUAUAACAGCGACAAUUUAAAGUCAGGUGGUGACAUCAUCGUUUGCCAUACAUUUAAUUCUCUACAUUUUCUUUCUUAAGUUUCUUAAAUAUCAGGUUUUUUUUAUAAUAACCAGUCUACAAGCAAACUGAACGGGUGACUAAUCAACAUUUAUUCAUCCUUUGUCAUCAAGAACAUUGGUUCUCAAGUAGUGGGUCGGGGCCAAGAGGUGGGACGCAGAGCCAUUUUCAGUGGGUCACAAAAGUUUGCCUGGAAAAAACCUUGUGCAAAAAUGUUUGUGAAGCGCUUUGUAAACAUGUUUGUUUUGUUCAGUUUCUUACUUCUGUCACAUGUUUUGUACCGAAUGAGGUCCAAACUUUUUAUUUUUAUUUCAGUAAAUAAAUCUAAUUGGUCGAAAAAUAUCAGAAAGCGGUUUUUCCAGAGGAGUUGGUGGUGGGUCCUGAGGCUGGACGAGUUGAGAACCACUGAUCAAGAGGAUAUAUUCCUCAAUGCACAAAAAAAGACGAAGCCAAGCUAUGAAUGAUACAGUUAACGCUUCCAGUGAAUGACUGUUAAAUAUGUCUUCUCCACCUCUUAAUAAAACACAAUCCAGACUGCAUCCAGUGCGCUGUCACUAGGUUUAUGUUGAUUCUCCGUGACUCAGAGCCGCCUUUAUGUGACCUCUUCUCUCGAACAUCAAAGCAGGACACCCACAUCAGGCAUUAUGAAAUUCUAAGGGAUAAUGUGUGAGCAAAUCAAAGGAAUCAGCUCCGGCUCUCUUUUAUUGUCCGUUGACAGAGCGAACAGAGGCACUGGAGAUCAAACACAUACUGUAGUUAAUACGUUAAAGAUGUAAAAACUGGCUGUUCAUAAGGCUUUGUUUUUUUUUUUUUAUAGCUAGAGCAAAACGGUUCAUUCUACAGGAACGAUGACUUUCAAUGCUUACAAAUCUUCAGCAUGACUAAGUACAAGAUCAGUUUUAUCAACUGCAACUUAUAGUAAACACAGAAAGAAACAGAAUAUAUGUUAUUCUGGACUUCUUCAAGAAGUGCAAAUUGAGCAGUUUCUGAAGUAAUUGUUGCAAAAGACAAGAAAUGAAUCGGGUUAUCUUUUUUAAAAUACCUUAGGUUUUUAUCGAUGACAAAAUGUGUACUUCAGGUAGCACAUUUAGCAUGUUACUAAAAAACUGAAGGUUUAAAACAUAUAUCCUGUUUAUCCUUCACAUAAAAAGGAAACUAAGUCCACCUUUUUACCUGACCUUGAUUGUUGUGAUGUAUUGUACAUAAUGCCUCCGCUUUAAGCCUUCAUACGAUGGAGAGUAUAAUGGUGCACUGAGAUUUAUCACAAACUCUGGUUUUCUUACUCACCUUUGUCCAUAUUCUAAAGUCAGUUGAACUGCUUUUUGUACGAGCCAGCUCGUGCGUCGCUAUCUUCAAAAUAAAUCAGUUC
This is a long non-coding RNA of Labrus mixtus (cuckoo wrasse), 1855 nucleotides long. RefSeq lists it as uncharacterized. The transcript is spliced from 2 exons. The record is from RefSeq and is a predicted model, not a curated record. Lineage: Eukaryota; Metazoa; Chordata; Actinopteri; Labriformes; Labridae.